Molecule: non-coding RNA, 1953 nt
Organism: Triticum urartu
Lineage: Eukaryota; Viridiplantae; Streptophyta; Magnoliopsida; Poales; Poaceae
Source: RefSeq, a predicted model, not a curated record
GGUUCAUCCAACAUAAGACAUACUACGAGCUCCUCCCUCCCCCGGCAGCCAGCGUCGGAGUAGACGGGAAUGGCUUCCCGCCUCAUAACCAGAUCAACGGCCGCGGUCCUCCUCUCCCACCUCCGCUCCAGGACGCCGAAUCCUACCCACCACCUCCUCACACAUGGAGCUGCCAUGUCCUCCCUUCUGGGACCCACUCACGGCCUUCCUGCCACCGCCAGAUCACGCCCCCUCCUCGAGCCGACUCGGUGGUUCUCUUCGCCGGCGCCGGUGGUGGAGGCGCCGAGGACGGUUGACGGCCUGACUGUGGACUCUAUUGCCGACAAGGGCUGGACGAUCCUCGCCGAGGCCGAGAGCGACUGGCGCAGCCACGCCGCCGCCGUCGCGCAGUCCAUCAGGCUCAUUAAGAAGCGUCUCAAGUGUUGGGAUGUGCAUCUGAUGUGCUUGUUUCUCUCGGGCAUAUCGACAAACACCUACCGUUCGUUCUCAGGUGCACGCGUAUGUGUGUGUGCUCGUGCAGCGAUCUCUGUUCAAGCACAUUUUUGCAUAGUUCCAGGCAGGGUGGCGCAGGAUCAGUGGAAAUGGUUACUGGAGAGGUCGAAGCAGUUGGCUGUGGUAUUGGAGAAGCCAGACCUCUGGGAGGAUCCAGUUUUUGCUGGGAAUGUUAGUCGUGAACAAGGCGAGCUCAUGGGCAAGAUUAAGUCAGUGAACCAAUUCGAGCAACAAUUGAUGGAGCACAUCGACAUGUUGAGGCUUGCACGUGAAGAGGGUGACAAUGAACUCGAGACGGAAUCCAUGCGAGCAUUGGCCGAUAUGAGAAGAGAUGCAAAGGAGAAAGAACUCAAUGCAUUGCUUUCUGGAGAUAAUGACGUUUACCCUUGCUUCAUUGAGGUCCAAGCAGGAGCCGGAGGCGUUGAGAGCAUGGAUUGGGCUGCCAUGGUUAUGAACAUGUACAGAUCAUGGGCUCAGAGACGGGGAUACAGAGUCACUAUAAUAGAAGAAAUACCUGGUGAACUAGCAGGAAUCAAGAGGGCUACUAUCAAAGUUGAUGGUGAGUAUGCAUUUGGAUAUGCGAAAUCUGAAAUAGGAGUUCACAGAUUAGUGCGGAUUUCUCCAUUUGACAGUGGAAAGCGGCGGCACACUUCCUUUGCUGCUGUCGCUGUCAUACCUAUUCUUGGUGAGGCCUCUAGCCGAUACCAGAUAAAUGAAUCGGAUCUUCGGAUAGAACGCUUCCGUUCUGGUGGACCUGGCGGCCAGCAUGCCAACACCACAGAAAGUGCUGUUAGAAUUGUGCACAUCCCAACUGGUACAACGGCAACUUGUCAAAAUGAAAGGUCACAACAUAUGAAUAGGGCAUCAGCAAUGGCGGUGCUUCAAUCUAGGUUGGACCAGCUUGAGAUUACCCGUCAAGCGCAGAUGAAUGCAGAGCACACGCAAUCACUGUCUGAAAUAAGCUGGGGAAACCAAAUAAGAUCGUAUGUGCUACAGCCAUACCGUAUGGUCAAAGAUCUCCGGACAAACUAUGAAGUGUCUGAUCCCGAUUCAGUCCUGGAAGGCGACCUGGAUGAUUUCAUACUGAGCUUUUUGUCAUUAUCAUUGGAUAAAGUUGAUGAAAGUGUCUGAACACAAACCAUGUCUAUCAUGUAUUGUUAGCACCAGCAGACUGUGACAGUGCCCAACUGACAGUAAGAGGGGCUAUUAUUUUCUUUACUACACUGACAAAUACAAUGGACAUCUUGAGUGGCGAAAGGUUCGGUGUCUGGGAUAAGGUGCCAUUUUUUUUGCUCAUGUUCAGAUGCAUGGAGGCGACCAUAUACAGUAUUUUCUUGUAUUGUACUUCAUAGUAUCAGUACUUACAGUAUUCAUAGUGCCACUCUGCUUACCAAAGUAGUAGUUUUUUCUUUUUUUCUUUUUUGCAUUGCCGUCUGAAAUAAGCUGUAAGCUUUCUGUUGC